ACUACAUUUUUAACCAGAUGCAACAGCCAAUAAAGGGCUAAUGCAACGUCAUUUUUGUUACCGUCGCAAUAAAUUAGGCUAAUGCAACGGAUAUUAGUUUACACUUCAUAAGAUAGAGCUAAUACAACGGCUUUUUAGAUCCGUUGCAUUAGUUGAGCAGAAGAAGCUAAUACAACGGCUAAAUAAGCUAAUGCAACGGCAAAGAAAUUCAAUAAUACGGAGAGGCGCUGAAAAUUUCACUUAUUCCCUCUAAUUUUUUCCCCAAAUUUUGAACCUUCUACUACAUCACCGCCACACUUACAAGAUAAACCAAAAAGAAAACAAACUCUCUUAUCCUCUCUCUCUCUCCUCCUUUCCCCAAUUCCUCAUUUUUUCUCAAUCUCAUGCUCCUACAAUGGCAGUCGCUGCUACUCAUUUCUUCGUCUACGCUUUAACCCUUCUAAAAUUGGCUCAUUAGUUUAUUAUUCAUAAGAAAUUUGGGUUGAGUUCUUUUUAUAAGUUUUCUCUUUUCUUUGUUUCCUUCUCUUCCACUCAAAUUCUUCUAAUUUCUACUAUUGCCCAAAUCUCAAGGAAAAUAUCGUUAUUUCUUCUCAUUUUAUGGGCUAUUAGCCCCAAUUUCAACUAGUAAAAUUGAGGAAGUGAAUGGAGGAGGAGACACACUUUGUGUGUGAGGUGUGGCUUUCACCAUUCCCUCUUCAGCAAAGUCGUUGCUUUGGUUGUAGAUCUCCCGUCAUUCGCAAGAAAAAGUGCCCCUCUGUAGGCUACGAUGCUUCUUCUGAUUUCGGCUAGUUCUUUGUCACAUUUCUUUCUAACCACUUAUUUGAGGUGCAUGGGGAGCUAAAUGGAGCUGAAGUAUAGUAACUAGCUAGUCAUCUAACAAAUGGCGCAUAUAUGUUGGCGACUCUUAUUCAAGUUCAAGUUUGUGAAGAUUUGGAAAUUCCGGCUUAAAUAUAUGUUGUAAAUUUGUAUUUUGGAGGAUUAAAUUAAUUAUAUAACUUUUAUUUAUUAUUAGUAGGGUGUCAUACAAAAAACAAGAAACUAAUAUUUUAUAAUAUACGUAUUUAGCAUUAUAAUUA
Molecule: long non-coding RNA, 1076 nt
Organism: Chenopodium quinoa (quinoa)
Lineage: Eukaryota; Viridiplantae; Streptophyta; Magnoliopsida; Caryophyllales; Amaranthaceae
Exons: 4
Source: RefSeq, a predicted model, not a curated record